This 465-nucleotide ribosomal RNA is filed under the name Nitrosomonas sp. enrichment culture. RNAcentral describes it as "bacterial SSU rRNA". It matches the Rfam family "Bacterial small subunit ribosomal RNA", at positions 198 to 644 of the family's 1533-position model. Lineage: Bacteria; Pseudomonadati; Pseudomonadota; Betaproteobacteria; Nitrosomonadales; Nitrosomonadaceae. The record is from RNAcentral.
GGAGAAAAGCAGGGGAUCGCAAGACCCUGCGCUAAAGGAGCGGCCGAUGUCUGAUUAGCUAGUUGGUGGGGUAAAGGCUUACCAAGGCAACGAUCAGUAGUUGGUCUGAGAGGACGGCCAACCACACUGGGACUGAGACACGGCCCAGACUCCUACGGGAGGCAGCAGUGGGGAAUUUUGGACAAUGGGCGAAAGCCUGAUCCAGCCAUGCCGCGUGAGUGAAGAAGGCCUUCGGGUUGUAAAGCUCUUUUAGUCGGAAAGAAAGAGUUGCAAUGAAUAAUUGUGAUUUAUGACGGUACCGACAGAAAAAGCACCGGCUAACUACGUGCCAGCAGCCGCGGUAAUACGUAGGGUGCGAGCGUCAAUCGGAAUUACUGGGCGUAAAGGGUGCGCAGGCGGUCUUGCAAGUCAGAUGUGAAAGCCCCGGGCUUAACCUGGGAAUUGCGUUUGAAACUACAAAGCUAG